This 492-nucleotide ribosomal RNA is filed under the name uncultured bacterium. RNAcentral describes it as "partial 16S ribosomal RNA". It matches the Rfam family "Bacterial small subunit ribosomal RNA", at positions 29 to 507 of the family's 1533-position model. The record is from RNAcentral.
AGUGAACGCUGGCGGUAGGCCUAACACAUGCAAGUCGAACGGCAGCACAGUAAGAGCUUGCUCUUACGGGUGGCGAGUGGCGGACGGGUGAGGAAUACAUCGGAAUCUACUUUUUCGUGGGGGAUGACGUAGGGAAACUUACGCUAAUACCGCAUACGACCUACGGGUGAAAGCAGGGGAUCUUCGGGCCUUGCGCGAUUGAAUGAGCCGAUGUCGGAUUAGCUAGUUGGCGGGGUAAAGGCCCACCAAGGCGACGAUCCGUAGCUGGUCUGAGAGGAUGAUCCGCCACACUGGAACUGAGACACGGUCCAGACUCCUACGGGAGGCAGCAGUGGGGAAUAUUGGACAAUGGGCGCAAGCCUGAUCCAGCCAUACCGCGUGGGUGAAGAAGGCCUUCGGGUUGUAAAGCCCUUUUGUUGGGAAAGAAAAGCAGCAGGUUAAUACCCCGCUGUUCUGACGGUACCCAAAGAAUAAGCACCGGCUAACUUCGUG